CGUCUCGCCCUCAUCGUCUGUUAGAAAAAGUUGUGUUGUGCUGUGUAAGUAUUGAGAUCAAAUGAAUGAAUAAUGAGAGUGUGGAUUGUAUUAACUGAGAUUUUGGACGGUGGCGUGAACGGUGUAGCCGCGGUCCAGAAGGAGGUGGACGAGCCAUGAACCGAUGGCGCCGCUGCCGCCGGUGACACACACCACCUUCUCCAUUUGGCAACUGUAUUCUAUCAACCUCCAGUUUUGUACUGUUCCAGUGUAAUCUGCUGAGGCAAAAAAUAAUUAUAAUUUGAAGUCAUAUCUGUACAAAAAAAUAUAUAUGAGUGGUGCAUAAUGAAUCUCAACACUCACAAAAAUCUCAUUAAAUUUUAUUAUUAUUAUAUUAUCAUCUUACAUGCACCAUAUCAGCAAAACCACAAAUUGCAUCACAUUUUGCAACAGAUGCAGGAAUUGAACCAGAAAUCAGAUGAUAGCAUAUACAAUGUUGUGAUGAAAAUUGGCAUGCUUAUUAUUAUUCAUUAAGCAAUAAUAUAUUAUAGAAGUAUUUUAAUCACUGGAUAUUGUUCUACUAGAUGUAAGAAACAGGUCAGUGACUUCUGUUGUUGAAAAAGUAGUAUAAUAGUUAUAAUAUAAUGUGAUUAAAAACCAUUUUUAUUGUUUUAAUAUACUGCUAAUACUACUAUAAUUAAUGUUAUAUUAAACGUUCAUAAUAUUAUUGUUACAACGUAAACCCACCCUUUAAUUGCAAUUUGUACUAUAUUAAAAUAUGAUGUCAACAUAUAUGUUAUUAUAUUAUUAAUGUUAUUAUCCUUUGGAUUUUUGUGUAUGUUUUUAUUUGGAUUUUCGUUUAUUCAAAAUUUUCAAGUAAAACAUUUAUUCAUUUGAGUGGAUUUUUUUAAAGGACUCAACUACGACCUGCUUCACGUGACAGAUGUUACACCUUAAGUACAUUACACCUUUAGCUCUCACAGUAUUCAAUUAACGCUUGAUUUAGCUUUCUGCAGUGUCUUUAUUCCUUAUCUUUCCUUUUGUCAUCAUUUUUAAUGUGCUUCUCUUACACUCUACUUCAUAAAGUUUAUAACCUACAACUUGCUUAAGCAACUUUCUUCUUACAUGGUUGUGCUCACACUUUACCUCAUUUGUCCUUCAUCGCAUCAGAAGUUCAGAUUGUUCACUUAUUUUUGUAAGACGUUAUUCAAAUUUUUGUUUCAAACUCUUGCAAUUUAAAUCGAUUGUUUUAUCCAAUGUUUUUUUUUUAUGGUUGUCUGUCCUUUUCAUAUCUUAUUUUCAACAAAAUGGCUUAUGAAGAACUUCUCCAUAUGUUGUUUGUUUUCACUUAUGGUUAUUGUUCUUUGUCUGCAUUCUAAUUUUUAAGUUUAAUUUUUAGUUAUCUUUAUAUUGGCAUUUCGGAUUAAAUGCAUCUUCAAUUAUUUUUGUAUGAUUUUUUUCCAUUGCUUACUUACUCUGUUUUCUAUUAAAAUUAAAACUUAUUACUUCUUUCAUGGUGGAUUUCAAGCUUUUGUGCUAAAGAAAUGACCUUUACAACUACAACAUCAGCUGUUUUCUAAAUACUUUUUGUUCUCGUUGUUUUUUUAAAAAAAUAUAAUACUAUUUAGGCAUGUAUUGUGCUCCGCUAGAUUUUAUUUAUGUGUUGUCUCAUAAAAGUCUUUCAUUUCACAGUAAAAUGUAUAGUGCAACUUAAAGAGAAAACCACUAUUUCGUUAUGUGUUCUUUUUCAUUAUAUUUUUCUCAAUUUUAUUCUAGUUGUUUUGUUUAACCUAUAUAUGCUUAUGUUGUUUUUAUGUUUUUCUUUUUUUUGUCAUAAGAUUUUGUAUUUAUGAACCUCUUAUUCAGAUUGUGUAACAUUUGAAUCUGGUUUGUUGCACACACUAACAUUGGCAGCUAAAACAAAGUUUUAUUGUUAGUUUAUAUUUACGAAUGUAUGUGUUCUUCUAUUUAUUUAUGUCCUUUCUUAUUUGACCUAUGUCUUUGACUAAUUGAUCAACACACCAAAUCUUCGCAACUACAAAAAUCUUUUAGUAUGCAAGAAUACAAUGUUGUUCCUUCUUCUUCACAAGUUUUAACAAAUUUGGUUUGCUUAUUUUGUUUUUAUGUAUUUUUGCUUUUUUUUUUAUAUGAUUAUGUAAUUAUGAACCUCUUAUGUUGUUGGAUGUCCAGAUUGUGUAACAUUUUAAUCUAAUUUGUUGCACACAAUUAGAUUGGCAGCUAAAGCAAAAUUUUAAUGUUAGUUUAUAUUUACGGAUUUCUGUGUUAUUCUAUUUAUUUAUGUCCUGUUUAUUUAACCUCUGGCUUUGAAGGAUUCAUCAACACACCAAAUAUUGGCAACUCCGUCAAGGAGAUACAUCCUAGAUUUUUUUUUUCUUCUUGUUUUCCAUGCUUGUAAUGCCCAACAUGAGUAUCUAAUUCUACCCUUUGAGAUUUGAGAUUUUCUCUUUAGUUGUUCCUCUACUCUAACACAAAGUUGAACUAAAUCAUUUAAAUCAUUAUAAGGAAAAAGUUCAACUUUAUCCUUAAUUUCAUAAUUAAGACCACUUUGGAAUCGAGCCCUAAUCCGUGCCCUUAACAUAAAUAACUCAAUUAUCUGCUUCUAUUGUUCUACAAUCAUGUUUAUAUGCGUUAACUUAUUGAGUUGUUUCAUCAACUCUCUAUCAUAUUAGGAAGGCUCAUACCUCUUCCUAAGAGCUGAUCUAAACUCAUUCCAAUACCUUAUUUAGGGAAAAUUAUGCAACCUAAGAUCUUUUGUAUAGGUGGUCCACCAAGUCAUGGUUGAAUCUUGAAAACUAAGGGUAGCUAAGGUAUCCCUCCUCUCAUGAUUUAUUUGGUGAGCCGAAAAAAAUUUCAACCUUCAUCUCCAAGGUUACGUAAUCUUCUAUAUUUGAUGAAAAAUGAAAAUAAGGAAGGUCAAUCUUAGGCUCUUUAGGCACAUGAUGGGCUCGAUGUCUAUGUUGUCUAGCAUUUUAUUGGUAGUAGUAUGUAUUGUGAUACCUACUAUAAUCAUAUUGGCUUUGGUAAGGGAUUGUAUGAUGAUUGCUUAUAUGUUUGUGAGAUCCCUCUCUUAGGAAAUCACAAAUUUAGAAAUUAUUUCUUUCAAUUCUGAAAAAUUCAUUUGCUUGUUUUGUUACUCUUUCAUAGACAUUAAAAGAAUCUUGAGUGUUUUGAUUACCAUGAACACUAGAUUGAUGUGAAGGAUCACCCAUUGUUGAAUUAAAAUAGAAAAAGUUUUCACAAAAAUUUACAAUUCAAUUGAGUGAUCAAAAUAUUUUUUGAAAAUAUUUUUUUAAUUUUUGGUGAAGUAAAUAGAUCAAGUAUGAGAGUUCUCCAAGUUCACUCCCACGAAAAGUGAGGUGAGUCACAAUGGACUACUUACAUACCAAGAGCUUAUCCCAAAUAAUUCUCAACAUAAGUUCCCUCAAAAUAAUUUUAGAAAUGAGAGUGGGUGUUUGAAUGUCGAAAUGAAACUAAAGAUCAAAGGAAGAUCUACUAAUAAGCAAAAAAAGAUAAAAAUCCUAUGUAUCACAGAUACUUAAAAGCAAGAAAAUAAAGGAAGGAAAUAAAGGAAGGAAAUAAAAGCAUGAAAUUAAAGCAAGAAAUUAAUGCUAGUGAAAAGUAAAUUAGCCGCAUCCUAAAGUUCAAGUGCAAUUGACACUAAGACUCCAGCAGCACACUUACACCACUAAUGCACAUGUAAUCUAAGAAUUUGAAGUAAAAUAAGUACAAAAGAAGAUGGACAACAAUAUAGAUAAAUAGUUAAGUGAAUCUCAAGAGAACAUUACAAAGAACUUACUUGAAAUGGACUUUAUUAAAAAUUUUAAUUUCAAGAAAUAUACUAAGUUAUGUUGGAGAUCCCACAUCGACUAGAGAUAAGGACAUUUCAUAAUAUAUAAAUGGGUGCAGACCUCAAUCUUAUGAGCCGGUUUUAUGGGGUUGAGUUAGCCUUAAAGUCCACUUCGCAAUAAGUUACUUUUAUACAUAUAGCUUAAUGAACAUAUCAAGGCAUAAGUAAGUAUAUUUGAUUAUUGUUAUAUAACAAAUUCAUUUGUAAUUCACAUUCCUAAAAGUAUUUACAAAAGAUUCGAAGUAAAGCAUGUCCUUAUCUCAAGAUGCACUACUUGUAAACAAAUAACCCAUCAUAUUCUACAUAUUCCUUUGACAAACUUGAUUACCCGAACUAGAAGUUGCUCAGUUGGAGAUCUCACAUCGACUAGGGAUUAGAGCCUUUUAUUGUAUAUAAAUGGAUGCAAACCUCAACCCUGUGAGCCGGUUUUAUGGGGUUGAGUUAGGCUUAAAGUCACAUCUCUAUCUUAGUGGAAAGUAUUGAAUAGAGUAUAAAUCAUAUACAUCUGUGUUAAAAUGAGUAUACAUCUAUAUUAAAAUGAGUGAUGUCAUUCAUACAUCUAAAGAAAUCAAUGUACAUUCUCAUUUCAUAAUAAAAAGAUAUGAAUGACAAUUACAACACAAAGACCCUACCUACCACGAGUUGGUCAUACUCUAAUCUACGCCCAUAAACUAUUUCCCGUGAGUUCUAGGCAUGGAGGCUUCUCAAUGUUUCAAGCUAUAAACAAAGACUGAGAAUUGUACACUCAAUCAUACAAUAAUAUAAAUAAAAACACAGGAAAAAUCAAUAUCCUCGCAUACAAUAACAUAAUCAAGAGGACAAAUUAUAAUAUACAUCAAAAAAUUAAUUUGGUGAAUUUAAAGACUCAACCAUACAUUCAAUCAAAUCAAAAUGUAUUUCACAAGUAUUAUUAUAGGAUAUGACAACCCAAACUAACAUCGUUUUCCUCCCUCAUCCAACGUCUACUUUCAUGACUUACUACUUAAAAGUACACCUUCAUUGAGAUUAUUUAAAAAAAAAACUUAAAUUGUUAUAUGAAGGUGCAUGGGGAAAAUAGAGAGUGGAGGAGAAUUUGCCAAACUAAUGCCCUUUUCUCUUUCCUUUUUUGUACGUAUGCAACACUUUAUAUUCUAAUUUUCAUGCACAUUUCAAUUCUUCACAAAUGACCUACAAACAAAUAGUGGUCCAUAUGCAUAAAACAAAAUGUAACUAGGGUUUCCAUUCGCAUGUAAACACCCCACGUUUUUCUUACUGUACCCAUAUAAAUUAUCCUUAUUAAUUUAUAAUAUUAUUAAUAAAUUGAAUUUUGAAAAAAUGAUUUUUCUCAUGAUUUAAAACUAAUUUGUUUAACAAUUUGAUACAUACAUUAUAUUAUAGUUAAUGAAAAUAAUAAUUAAUAACUAAAAUCUUAAUAACUAAUUAGAUACAAUUUAAAAAUUAUUUUAUAAUUUUUAUUAAUAAUAAAAACUAUUUAAAUACUAAUACUCAUUCAAUUAUAUCAAUUUCCUUCCAAAUCCUCCUCAUACAUAUAGUAAAGAAAUUGUUUUUCGUUUUCCAUGUUCUUUACACGUUUUCUAUUAAUUUCUUUGUGGACAAUAAGUUUAAGCAUUCCAUCUUCAUUUUGAAAAAAGAAACAAACAGGUGAGAGCUACUCAUACGCAAGUUCCUUUUUCAUACUAUUAGAGAAGUGUAGAUUAUGUCAUAGAAGAGCGUCUAAAGGUAACAGAGAUACAAAAAUGUGAAGACAACACAGAAACAUGACAGAAAUAGAGAUCCACCCAUGAACUAAAAUUAGGUAGAAAAUGUUUUACAAAGAUGUCUCUCGUCACUUGUUUUAGAACAAUGCAAACAUAACAACAACCACACCAACAAAUAUAACAGAUUAACAACAACAGGAAUUUGCACCAAACAUAUGUGCCAUAAGGACUCAUAUUGCAGCAGCAAUUAUGGAAGGAAUCCUUUUUUCUUCAAAUCCUCUACAGAAUCCUUAAUAAUCUCCUCAAUUGGAGUGAUUUGCAAACCCAAAUCCAUAAGUUUCUUUGAUCCAUCCUUCACUCUCAAUAAUCCUGGUUGGGUAUCUCGUUGCAUCCUUUCAAGCAAAAUCACAAAAUACAUCAUUCGCAACUAAGUUAUGCAUUAACAAUAGAUGUAUGAAGUGUGUGGGUAACUUACUUAGGCACAUUGUACUCUGGAUAAAGUUCACCAACUUUGGCCGCAAAAUCACCAAAGUGAGAGAUAGAUUCAACACACACAUGCCUACCAACUGCAGAUUUGUUCUCAUACACCAAAAUAUGUGCCAAUGUUACAUCCUUCAAGUGGACCGAUCCCAUAUAAAUGUCCUCGUAUGUUUCAUCAGAACCUGCGACGCGACAUACAAAUUUGUCUCAAAUUAUCAGUAAUUCCCCUAAAAAAAUCAUAACUUGGGGAGUUUGAUAUUAGUAUUCGAGUCAACAAUUAUACUGUGCAAAAUCUAAUGAAAAGAGUAUAGCACAAUCAAACAAGUCUAAUACUUUUCACGAAGGCAUCAAGUUCUAAAUAUCCUACACAGCUACACCAUCAACUACACUGUCGCAGGUCUUAGAAAACAUAUAAAAUAAUAAUAAAAUAAAAAUAUGAAUAAUAAAUUAAUAACAUAAUAAUAAUUAAAUAAUUAAAAUAAUAAUAAAUAAUAAACAAUAAUAAUGUUGGAGAUCUCACAUCGACUAAAGAUUAGAGUCUUUCAUUGUAUAUAAGUGGGUGCAAACCUUAAAUUUAUGAACUUGUGAGUCAUUUCAUUGUAUAUAAAUAAAUGAAAACCGAUUUUAUGGAGUUGACUUAGACUUAAAGUUUAUUUUGUAAUAAAUAAUAAAAAUAACUGAUAGUAAAAAUAUUAAAAUUAAAAUUAUAAACUAAUUAUAAUAUUAUAUUUUUUAUUUAAUUAAAUUAGUUUAUAAUAAUAUAAAUUAAUUAAUUAUUAUAUAUAUUAUUUUUAAAUUUUUUAAAAUUUAUUAUAUUUAUCAAAUUAGUAAUAAACUUAAUUCAAAAAACUUCAUUUUACUCAACUCCUCAAAUUCCCAGUAUCAAAUUUACUCUCCAUUUGAAAAAAACCCAACUUGAUACAAUGAGUUUAAAAAUAACUAUCUAAAAUAAAGAAUAAAUUUAUACUUAUAUAAUAUAAAAAAUAUAUAUUAAAAUAAUAAUAUUGAAAAUUGUAUAAAAAUACUGCAUUGUAUGAUUAUAUGAUUAACCCAAAAGAUAAAGCAUUCUCAAGCUUUUUGGGUAGUAGAAGAUUUCUUGAUACCAUAUUAUAAUAAUAUAAUAAUAUUUUAAAUUAAAAAUAAAUUAAAUAUAAUUAAAAUAUUAUUUUAAGGAUUUGUCAAGUGGAUUUUUUUAUUAUUGUAUGACCACCCAUUUUAGAACUUUUCCAGUUCACAUUUCCAAUAUUGAAGGAAACUCCUGCUGCAAAAAUAGAAAGAAAUAUUUGGAAAAUCCAACUGAUUAAGCAUUAGUGUCUCUACCUUGAAGAAGGCGCAAGAGCAUGAGCAUGCUUGCAUUAAGCCUGGGUGAAAUAAUCGGACCCAUCACAGUGCCAGGAUUCACUACAACAACAUCCAACCCACUCUCCUUUGCAAAUUCCCAAGCUGCUUUCUCCGCCAAAGUCUUCGACAAUGGAUACCACAACUGUUGCACACACAAACACUUCACACACCAACACAUAUAAGAAAAAGAAACAGAAAAUGAAAAAAAUGAAACCCUUUCUAACCCCUUUUUGCUUGCAAAAUUCAACGUCAGCCCAGCAGUCCUCCCUCUUUGGAACAUCACCGGGCCAACUGGGGCUCGGAAUAAUCGCCGAGACGGAGGACGUGACCACCACGCGACGCACUCCUGCUUCUUUCGCUGCCGUUAAUACGUUCACGGUACCCUUUAUCGCCGGGUCCAGAAGAUCCUUCUGCAUGAAGACUCAAAUGGGAUGAUGAAAAAACCCAAAAGAUUGAAAAUUUGUGAAGAGAUCGAGGAAACAAGACCUGGGGAUCCGAGACUUGAUCAACAAUGCAGGGAGAGGCGAGGUGGAAAACGCCGGCGCAGCCGCGCAUGGCAGCGAGUACGGAGUCAUAGUGGAGGAGCUCCAUCUGAAAGAGGCGGAGGCGCUCCGACGCUCCAUCCAAGUCUUGUAGAUGCUUUGUCUCGGCCUCAUCGUCUGUUAGAAAAGUUGUGUUGUGCUGUGUAAGUAUAUAUUGGGAUGAAACGAAUGAAUAAUAAAAGUUUGGAAUGUGCUAACUGAGAUUUUGGACGGUGGCGUGAACGGUGUAGCCGCGGUCCAGAAGGAGGUGCACGAGCCAUGAACCGAUGCCGCCGCUGCCGCCGGUGACACACACCACCUUCUCCAUUUUGCAGCUGUAUUCUAAGAUGCACUACUUGAAGAACUCCACUGUACUAAGAUAAUGAUGACACGUGUAAGAGAGGAAGAAACAAAGAAAACGAAAGACAGCCACAGAAAGAACAGAGAAAAAAUGAAAACGACGUUCAGAUAAAAGGCAAAAAAUGACCGAAGCAAACAGUUCCAAACAGCAAAAUAUUAGGUUUUAUUUUUUAGUGACUAAAUUAAUAUUGAAUUAUAAAUUUUUAAAGAAUACUUGUAUAAUGUAAUUGUCAUAUUUCUCUAUUAUGUAGAAUUGUAGUGAAAUGGAGGUUAAAUAAUGGUGCCCAACUUGCUAGCUGAAGGUUUUAAAAGGCAAGGAAAAAAUGAUAGCAAAUUAACCGUCAUGUACAAAAAAAGUGGUGGUCCCACAAUCACAAAAAUAGCAUAUAAAUUAAAUAAAAGAACUGACACGUAGAGUUUAGUGUAAUUUGAUGAUUUAUUUAUAAAUUAUUAUUUAUGGUUAUUUUACUGAUUUUUGUAAUAAGUAUUUGAUAUAGUUUAGGAGAGGAUAUGGUAUGCUUUAAUAAGAGGAUUUGAGCACACUUAAGCUUAAAUGAGUGUAUAUAAGCAACAAAAGAAAGAAAAAUAAAUCUAUACAAUUGUUGGAUCAUUCCAAGACUCAAUCAUAGAGGAACACAAACUCAUAGUAGAUAAUUUUUUCUUUUCAUUAAUUUAAUUUCCAACUCAUUGAGAUAAUUAUAAAAGCGUUUCUAUCCAUAACAUUAUGACAAAAUGUAGAGUACACCUUAUUUUCUUAAUAUAUAUAAUUUGACUUUUAUUAACCAAGUGGGCUUCUUCAAUGCCUAAAUCAUUUUAAUAUUUGGCUCCAUUAUUGUGUACCUGUUUCUCAUUUUCUGGUUCUUAUCUCAGACCAACUAAAGCCCACCACGUAUCGUUUCCCAAUUUUUACUUUAUGCAUAUGGACCCGCUUUUUGUUUGUUGCUAUUUUACUUUAUUCCUUUUCAUUUUAUUUUUAAUUCAAAAUAUUAUUAUAUUAUUAUAAGUGUUUGUUAAGUGUAUCUUAUUUACUGUUUUUUAUUGUUUAUGGUUUUAAAGAAACUUUUCUCUUUUGUCAUACAUUCACAUGGGGAGUGCUCAUUUGUUUGCAUGAAAAUUGAAAUACUAAGAGUUGCAGAUGUACAAGAAAGAAAGAGUAGCUCUAAACAAAGAAUAACUUUAUUUUUUAAAAUAAUUUCAGUAACAUUCUUAUAACUUUCUUUUAUUUACAGUACUUUCAUUCUUAUGUCGUAAAAUUAGAAAAAGUAGUUUUUUAUCAAUCAAUAUCGAACGGGUGAGUCAUUUAGUUUCGGAAAUCGAUCAACUGCGUUAAAAUACAUUUAAUACACUCAAUAAAUGACUAUUGUUACAAUUAUGAAAACUUCCGACAAAUCAAAGUCAUAUUCCAUCGAAUUUGGGUGACACCCCCAAGAAAAUAGCUAAUAUUGAUUUAUUGAAGAUAUUCUCCAAAUAUACAUCUCUAUAAUUCAAGGAAUCCCCUAAAAAGCCACUUAACACUGAUAUUUGAUAAAUGCGGUUCAUCACACAAAAUGACUCAUGACUAAACAUUAUAAAUAAAUAUUUUACAAAAGAGGAAUGUAUGUUUUUUAUCAGUUUCACUAUACACUCUUAACACAAGGUACUCACUUGAUCGUCGAAAAAUCUUUUGCAAGUUAACUCCUAAUCGACUAUUGAGAAAUUGAGGAUAGGGAGUCUUGAAGUUUGAAGGAGUGAAGUACUAAGGAGCAAGGGAGGGACCGACAACCAAAACAAUUGUUACAGUCAAUCCCAUGUACUAUUUAUGCUCACUUUGUCAAUACAAGUACAAGUUCCAUCAUUUCAACGUGUGUAAGAGGCUUGACGAGAAGAUUUGUUGUAUUCGACAUUCCCCAAUGCGAAGAUAAUUUUUUUUUUUUAGUUUUAUACUUCAUUUUUGCACAUCAUUUUUUUAUGAAUUUUGUGGCUUCCAAAAAAAGAAAAAAAAUAAAUGAAUAAAAACACAGUCACCAUGAGCAAUCACCAUCACUUGAAAAUGAAGAAGACACAACACUCUCCAUCAAAUAUUGUUGGAAUUAAAAAAGAGUAUGGAAGUGGAGAAUGAAGGUACGGAGAUGCAAGGAGAAUUUGCCAUCAAUUUUGUGCAUAUGGGAUUACUUUUUGCAUCACAUUUUGGUAUCACCCUUCCUUCAUAGGUGUUUCUUUCUGCACCUCUACAUUUUUCUUCUUGCACCUCUACAUUUUUCUUCUUGCACCCCUACAUUCAUGUGUAAUUACAAAGUAUCUCUAAGACAUCUAAAAAAACCCAAAAGGAGCAUAUCUCACUCUUUCUUUCUUCCUUUUCUACAAUUGUUGUGCACCUUGUUCAAGGAGCGAACAAAGGACAAUAAGUGGUAAUGCAUUGGGAUGUUGUUGGUGGUUCAUUUUCUGAAAUCUUGAUGGUGGUUAGAUGAUUUCUAAGAUGACUCUGUAUUAAGAAAAGAAGAUAAGUAAUAUUAUUUUUUGUUUACACUGUAUUGAGAAAAGAAGAUAAGUAAUAUUAUUUUUUGGUUACAUAUUGGAUGUUUAAUUUUUUAACUAAUUUUGAAUUCCGUAAUGCAACUUUUAGGAUUUCAGAGACAAGUGAGUCCGUAAUAGAGCACAUUGAUCCAAGAAUUAACUAGAUUGGUGUAUUUGUGUGGUUAUUUACACUUUAUAAACAUGGUUGUAAUUCCUAGCUGUAAUGGCAAAUAGAAAACUCUUGUAGCAGCCAAAUGGAUCCAGACUUUUUUUGUAAAAAACGUGGUGCCCCACUUGCAGCAAACAGAAAAUAACGAGUAAAUAAAAAAAUAGGGUUUGCAGGAAAUAUAGAAAACAAUGAGGAAAGAAAAGAAUGGCAUGUGAAGGCACUGUAAGGAAGGGUGAUGCCACAUCGUGAUCAGAAUGAGUGGUUGUGAUGGAUGAAUGAAUAAUUAAGAUUCCUUCACAUUCUAAACAGUAUCUCACUUUCAUUCUCUAACCAUUUAUAGUAAUAUCCCCACGUAUUCUUUCUUCUUUUAUAACAAAAACAAAAACAACCACCCCUUUUCUCUUUUCUUUUUUAAUUUACUACUUUUAAUAUUAUUAUUUUAAUAUUUUUUUAUAUCAUUUAAUUAUAAAUCAUUCUUUUAUUCUGCUCUCCAUGUGAAUGUUUGAAGAGUAAAUCAUCUAGGUGUCAAAAAGAACAUUGACAUAUUGGUUUAUAAUUAAAAAUUCUUGAUUCUACAUAUUUUUAACUUUGAGUAGGAAGUUGAUGUUAUAUUAUUAUGUUUAUAUUUAUUAGUUCAAAUUUAAUUGAAUUGAAUAACUGAUUUUUUUCUUUAAUUUAUAAUAGAAUUAAACAAUUAUUAAAAUAAUUCAUAUUUAUUAAAACUAACCACACCAACAAAAGUUUAACGAUACAUAUGAUAGUGCCUCAUUUUAGAACUAAGAGGAAUUUGCAGCAAACAUGUGGCUUUUAGGACUCGUAUUGCAGCAGCAAUUAUGCAAGGAAUCCUUUUUUCUUCAAAUCUUCUACAGCAUCCUUAAUAAUCUCUUCAAUUGGAGUGAAUUGCAAACCCAAAUCCAUAAGUUUCGUUGAUGCAUCCUUCACUCUCAGUAAUCCUGGUUGGGUAUCUCGUUGCAUCCUUUCAAGCAAAAUCACAAACUACAUCAUUUACAAGUACGUUAUGCAUUAACAAUACAUGUAUGAAGUGUGUGGGUAACUUACUUAGGCACAUUGUACUCUGGAUAAAGUUCACCAACUUGGGCUGCAAAAUCACCAAAGUGAGAGAUAGCUUCAGCACACAGAUGCCUACCAACUGCAGAUUUGUUCUCAUACACCAAGAUAUGUGCCAAUGCUACAUCCUUAAAGUGGACCGAUCCCAUAAAAAUGUUCUCAUAUGUUUCAUCAGAACCUGCCACGCCACAUACAAAAGGUCACAAAUUCUCAGUAAUUCCCCUAAAACAUCAUAAAUUGGGUAGUUUCAUGUUAAUAUUCCGGUCAACGAUUAUAGAUUAUAUGGUAAAAAAUUUAAUAAAAAAAAAGUGUAGUGAUUUUCACGAAUUAUAAAUGUCCUACGCAUCUAUACCAUCGACCAAGUUGUAGCAGGUCUUGUGAAAUUAGUCUAAUAGUUAGGUAACAACAACAGUAGCCCUAUUCACAUUAUACCAUUUUAAUCAGUUAAAAAUGUAUGCAUCAUUCAUCACAAGAUCCCUAACAUGGUGUUAAAUAGUGGUAUGCGACUAUGACUUUAGUGGUUCCGUCCACAGAUUUGGACGGAUGAAUACAAACAGAAAGCAUGAAAAUCAAAAGUAAAAAAUUGUUAGAUUCUUUCCUCGCAUAGCUGUGAGGAGUAGCAAAGAAAGUUGAAUAAACAUUAUAAUCAUAUAUUUACAAUAAAAUAUAUAUUCUAUAACGGAUCAUUACAUAGUCUGAUGACAUAUAUUUAUCAAAUAAUCCAUUUUUUUAAUAAUAUAAUUGAUUAUGGAAUAUACAUGUUAUUAUAUUUUUAUAUAAUUAUUAUAUUAUAUAUAUACACUAAAAAAAAUAUAAAUAUAGUAAAAAAAAUAAUUAGUUGUUAUAAUAACUAAAUUAGAAAUUAUUUUAAAAACUAAAAAAAAUAAUUUUUAAAUUAGUUUAUAUUAUUAUUAAAUAGUUUUGUAAUUUGUAUUUAAUUAGCUACCAAGGUUUUAACUCCCAAUUAUUUAAUUUCUAAAUUUGGUCGUAAAAAUUUUGGUUGCUAAUUAAAUACUAAUUUAAAAAUUAUUUAAUGAUAAUACAAACUAAUUUAGAAACUAAAGUUUUUUUUUCUCUAAAAUGAUUUAUAAUUUAGUUACUAUAUCAACUAAAUAUUUUUUAUUCUCUAAACAUAGUUUUCUAUUUGAUGUUUUUUUUUAGUGAUAUUAUUAAUUGAUUAAUAUUUGUAUUUUUAUUCUAAACAUAAUUAAUUAUACAAUAUAAUACAAUGUAAUAAUAAUAAGUAGUCAAACAAUAAAGAAAUAUAAAAUAAUAAUAAUAAAAUAGUCUCUACCUUGAAGAAGGUGCAAAAGCAUGAGCAUGCUUGCAUUAAGCCUCGGUGCAAUAACCGGACCCAACACCAUCCCAGGAUUCACUACAACAACAUCCCACUCACUCUCCUUUGCCAAAUCCCACGCUGCUUUCUCGGCCAAUGUCUUCGACAAUGGAUACCACAACUGUUGCACACACAAACACUUCACACCCCAACACAUAACAAAAACAAACACAAAAUUCAAAAAAUGAAAACCCUUUCUAACCGCUUUUUCCUUGCAAAAUUCAACGUCAGUCCAGCACUCCUCCUUCUUUGGAACAUCACCGGGCCAAUUGGGGCUCGGAACAAUCGCGGUGAUGGAGGACGUCACCACCACGCGACGCACUCCAGCUUCUUUCGCUGCCGUUAGCACGUUCACGGUGCCCUUUACCGCCGGGUCCAGAAGAUCCUUCUGCAUGAAGACCCAAAUGGGAUGAUGCAAAAACCCUAAAGAUUGAAAAUUUGCAAGAAGAUCGAGAGAACAAAACCUGGGGGUCCUGGACUUCAUCAACAAUGCAGGGAGAGGCGAUGUGGAAUACGCCGGCGCAGCCGCGCAUGGCUUCGAGUACGGAGUCGUAGUGGAGGAGCUCCAUCUGGAAGAGGCGGAGGCGCUCCGACGCUCCAUCCAAGGCUUUUAGAUGCUUUGUCUCGGCCUCAUCGUCUGUUAGAAAAGUUGUGUUGUGCUGUGUAAGUAUAUAUUGGGAUGAAACGAAUGAAUAAUGAGAGUGUGGAAUGUACUAACUGAGAUUUCGGACGGUGGCGUGAACGGUGUAGCCGCGGUCCAGAAGGAGGUGGACGAGCCAGGAAGCGAUGGCGCCGCUGCCGCCGGUGACACACACCACCUUCUCCAUUUUGCAACUUAAUUCUAACACGAAAACGAUCACUAGAGACUUGAGAAGUCCACUUUGAAAUCAAGAGAAGAAGAAAGAAACAAGUGU
Molecule: long non-coding RNA, 14226 nt
Filed under: Phaseolus vulgaris (common bean)
Lineage: Eukaryota; Viridiplantae; Streptophyta; Magnoliopsida; Fabales; Fabaceae
Description: long non-coding RNA (PVUL_LNC001905)
Source: RNAcentral